UUAGGAUAUGCCAGAUUCCACCAAAUGCAA
RNAcentral lists this small RNA (30 nucleotides) under Arabidopsis thaliana (thale cress). RNAcentral describes it as "ATSL232160". The record is from RNAcentral. Lineage: Eukaryota; Viridiplantae; Streptophyta; Magnoliopsida; Brassicales; Brassicaceae.